This 763-nucleotide ribosomal RNA is filed under the name uncultured Streptococcus sp. RNAcentral's name for it is "bacterial SSU rRNA". It matches the Rfam family "Bacterial small subunit ribosomal RNA", at positions 28 to 776 of the family's 1533-position model. Lineage: Bacteria; Bacillati; Bacillota; Bacilli; Lactobacillales; Streptococcaceae. The record is from RNAcentral.
GACGAACGCUGGCGGCGUGCCUAAUACAUGCAAGUAGAACGCUGAAGGAGGAGCUUGCUCUUCCGGAUGAGUUGCGAACGGGUGAGUAACGCGUAGGUAACCUGCCUGGUAGCGGGGGAUAACUAUUGGAAACGAUAGCUAAUACCGCAUAACAGUAGAUAUUGCAUGAUAUCUACUUGAAAGGUGCAAUUGCAUCACUACCAGAUGGACCUGCGUUGUAUUAGCUAGUUGGUGAGGUAACGGCUCACCAAGGCAACGAUACAUAGCCGACCUGAGAGGGUGAUCGGCCACACUGGGACUGAGACACGGCCCAGACUCCUACGGGAGGCAGCAGUAGGGAAUCUUCGGCAAUGGACGGAAGUCUGACCGAGCAACGCCGCGUGAGUGAAGAAGGUUUUCGGAUCGUAAAGCUCUGUUGUAAGAGAAGAACGAGUGUGAGAGUGGAAAGUUCACACUGUGACGGUAUCUUACCAGAAAGGGACGGCUAACUACGUGCCAGCAGCCGCGGUAAUACGUAGGUCCCGAGCGUUGUCCGGAUUUAUUGGGCGUAAAGCGAGCGCAGGCGGUUAGAUAAGUCUGAAGUUAAAGGCUGUGGCUUAACCAUAGUACGCUUUGGAAACUGUUUAACUUGAGUGCAAGAGGGGAGAGUGGAAUUCCAUGUGUAGCGGUGAAAUGCGUAGAUAUAUGGAGGAACACCGGUGGCGAAAGCGGCUCUCUGGCUUGUAACUGACGCUGAGGCUCGAAAGCGUGGGGAGCAAACAGG